CCCUUAGAUGUUCUGGGCCGCACGCGUGCUACACUGAGUGGAUCAGCGGGUCAGGUUGCGCGAAAGCGUUUCCUAAUCUUUAAAUCCGCUCGUGAUGGGGAUUGACGGUUGCAAUUUUCUGUCAUGAACGAGGAAUACCUUGUAAGCGCGGGUCAUCAUCCCGCGCUGAAUACGUCCCUGCCCUUUGUACACACCGCCCGUCGCUACUACUGAUUGGAUGUUUAAGCGAGGUUCUCGAACUGCUAGCGACUUAGCUUCGGUGAGGUCGCAGUGUGGGAAGUGAACCUAGCUUUGGUGUCUAGAGGAAGUAAAAGUCGUAACA
RNAcentral lists this ribosomal RNA (322 nucleotides) under uncultured eukaryote. Its description in RNAcentral is "partial 18S ribosomal RNA". It matches the Rfam family "Eukaryotic small subunit ribosomal RNA", at positions 1470 to 1796 of the family's 1831-position model. The record is from RNAcentral.